This 1707-nucleotide ribosomal RNA is filed under the name Triticum aestivum (bread wheat). RNAcentral describes it as "partial small subunit ribosomal RNA". The record is from RNAcentral. Lineage: Eukaryota; Viridiplantae; Streptophyta; Magnoliopsida; Poales; Poaceae.
AUGGCUCGUGGCGAUCAUCAAAUUGAUGAUGAUGAUUUCAUGGAUCCACCACAGCGUAAUCGGGCAACUGGACAGAGAAAAGAGGGUGAUGAGAAGAAGAAACAUAUUCGCAGUAGAGCCUCCCAAGAACGAGUGACUGUGUUGACUGACAAAUUCACCGGCGAUCAGAAGGGAGCUGCUGCUGAGAUGGGUAUGCAGGCUCUGAUGGAUGUCCGGUGCACGAACCUUGUCAACCCUGUAUGCGACUGGCUUGGUGAGAUCUACCAACCCGCCUCCAGGGAAUUCAUGAUUCCGGGACGUGGAAGACUACGGUUGAACGAGGAAUCCAUGUUCUGUACUUUGGGUGUGCCUCGUGGACAUAUCAGCGUCCCGUACAAGGUCAACAAUGAGAUAGAGGAAGCGAUGUUCCCCCGUUUGUUUCCUGGAUUGGAAUCCAUGCCGAACACGUCUGCACUAGCAGAUUCGCUGCAGGCCAUGACGACGCAUGGAGAUGUUUUGAAGAUGAAGCUACUCAUGUACCUCAUCUCAGCUGUUUUCGCGCCGACCACUUCUCUUCGCCCAAGCAACAAAUGCUUCCCCAUCCUGGCGGAUCUGAAAAAUGUGAAGAACAUGAAUUGGUGUAAGUUUAUUGCCGACUUCCUGCAUGAUGCAUUCUCAAGCAAGAUGUACCAAAAGGGUUGUCAACUGCAUUUAAUGCUCAUGUAUGUAGACUGUCUUGAUCUGUCCAUCGUGGAUUUCACUGGGAUAGGAGGCCCGCCGCCCACGCACAAGUUUGUUGUUUCUGCGUGGAAUAUCAACGCUGUCAAGGCUGUGCUUGCCGCAGACAGGGUAACUGAUACCAAAUAUGGAAAACUGCAGCUGAUGGCCAAGCAUGCUAUAGACUACAGCGUGUUUGGGGGGCCUCAAAACUUUGAAAAGUGGAUGGACGUGCACUCAGCUCCGUCUUGCCCUACUGAGGCGGUGGCACCUGUUGAGCAUCUAAUUGGGCAGUUUGCAUCCGGAAUGACCGGCUUGCUUGGGAAGUUGGUUGAGGGUUCCCAAGAGCCCGGUGACACACAAGAUGAUCUAGAUGGAGACGCUGGCCUCAGCAAGGAUGACGACGAUGACAUGGAGAAUGUGCAACAGGACACCGAUGAUGAUGAAUAUGCUGAAGUUCGCGUAGGUGGUAACAAGGGCAAGGAUGCAACAGAUGUCCCACCACCAGAGAAAGUCAAAGAACAUACGGCUGCGAGAGGCGAGGGGGUGUUGCCAUCAAGGAGGGGGAGGGAUCGAGAGGAUGUUGGGCAGGGUUCUCCUGGCAAGAGGUCUAGGACCGAUCCCGUAGCUGCCAGGAGGAGCGAGCCGACCGCUGGUGGACGAGCAGUUAUGAAGAAACAGGCGCCAACGCCAACCCGUGUUUCUGCUCGGUUGAACAAAGGUGCCCCCAUUGCCGGUGACACCCCUUCCACCAGGUCUUCUCCUCGUACGAUGACGACCAACACCGGGGAUCCUGUCGUGUUGCUAGACCUAAGGAAGCCAGUCAAGAAGGUGAAGAAGACUACUAUGCGUGGGGCCAAGCAUAUCAUUAAGGACCCACUCGAACGCCUGCAUUCAAAGUUGUCAACAGGGGGCAACUCAGAUGUUCAUGAGGCGCCAGGCGACAAUACGGCUGCUGCACCGUCAACUGCUCCUACUAACUCUGAUAGGCAUCCGUACAUCGGGGAGUGA